UCACUCGUGGCUUUGUUUUCGGGGCGCGGGCCUGGGGAGGCGCUGGUGGGGCGUGGCCCGUCUAGGUUUCUUUCCGAGCGUGCUGCAGAGCAGGGGGAAAAGCGUUUUUGCAUUGUGUCCGCGGAAAGAGUGCUCUUCUUGUUCGCUUUGGGAACUGUGUCUGCACGCCUGGUUCGGUGCUUGCUUGCUUUCUGCGCUUUACGCAUUCUGUUAUCGACUGAAAGAUUGUGUUGGUUGAUGGUUUGUAACGGCCGUUCUUUCGUCGCUCUCUUUGGCUUGUAUAUUUUGUUGCCUCGCUGUUUUGCUGCUUGCUUCUUUGCUUUUGCUGCUUUUUGCUGCUUUGCUUCUUUUUCUGCUUGCUUCUUUGCUUCUUUGGCCGCGAGGCUGCGGUAAUUGUUUGAGUGUUUCAUUAUAUCGUAAAUUACAGCGGUUUUUGUUCUUUCCGCCACUGGUCCUCUGUCGUGCUGGUAGCGGCUCGCGGACCCCCUGAGCGAAGGCGAGGGGCCUUCAACCUUCACAUGUUUCCCUUCAGUAGGAAAUUGCUGGACAGGCGGACCAGCGCACUGGAAUUGUACUGGCGAAUCUACAAGCAAGUCAUAGAAUCUGUGUAAUUGUUACACUUUGAACAAUCAUGCUUCAAUCGUAAGAAAGUUCGAGACCAACAUUGCAGCGCUCGCUGUGUGCCAGAAGUGCAGUGAUAAAUUGUUGUGCAUUCGC
Long non-coding RNA from Dermacentor andersoni, 717 nucleotides. RefSeq lists it as uncharacterized. The record is from RefSeq and is a predicted model, not a curated record. Lineage: Eukaryota; Metazoa; Arthropoda; Arachnida; Ixodida; Ixodidae.